This 456-nucleotide ribosomal RNA is filed under the name Triticum aestivum (bread wheat). RNAcentral's name for it is "partial small subunit ribosomal RNA". Lineage: Eukaryota; Viridiplantae; Streptophyta; Magnoliopsida; Poales; Poaceae. The record is from RNAcentral.
AUGAGGAGACAUGUGUUCAAUCGUAUUCGGGAGGGAGUGGUAGGAUAUGACCCAUACUUUGAGUGCAAAGAGGAUGUCCUUGGCAAGCUUGGCUUCUCUUCUUACCAGAAAUGCGCUGCGGCUAUCCGCAUGGUUGCAUAUGGAAUUCCUGGUGAUCUCGUGGAUGAGUAUGUGCGUACGAGUGAGUCCAUAUGUCUCCUCUCAAUGUACAAUUUCGGCAAGGCCGUGGUGGCAGUGUUCGGCCCUGAGUACCUGAGAGAGCCACUUGCCGCUGAUACAGAGAGGUUGUUGGCGAUCAAUGCCGAUAAGGGCUUUCCGGGCAUGCUUGGUAGUAUAGAUUGUAUGCACCGGAAGUGGAAGAACUGUCCAUUUGCUUGGCAGGGGCGGUACAAGGGGCAUUUGAAAGGUGCCACUAUCAUACUUGAAGUGGUGGCUUCACAAGAUCUGUGGAUAUGA